This is a non-coding RNA of Odocoileus virginianus texanus, 9629 nucleotides long. The record is from RefSeq and is a predicted model, not a curated record. Lineage: Eukaryota; Metazoa; Chordata; Mammalia; Artiodactyla; Cervidae.
GGCAGAACAUUGGUUAUGGAAAGAAAGGAUGCUGCUGGCAAGGUGCUUGACCGCUGGGCCAUCAUGUCUCGAGAAGAGGAAAUCAUCACCCUUCAGCAGUUUCUGCGGUUCGGAGAAACCAAAUCCAUCGUGGAGCUGAUGGCGAUUCAGGAGAAGGAAGGGCAGGCCGUAGCUGUACCGUCUUCAAAGACAGACUCAGACAUCAGAACUUUCAUUGAGAGCAAUAAUCGCACCAGGAGUCCCAGUCUCCUCGCCCAUCUAGAGAACAGCAACCCUUCCAGCAUUCAUCACUUCGAAAACAUCCCCAACAGCCUCGCCUUCCUGCUGCCAUUCCAGUACAUAAACCCGGUCUCAGCCCCGCUGCUAGGAUUGCCUCCAAACGGGCUGCUAUUAGAGCAACCAGGACUGAGGCUGCGGGAGCCCAGCCUUUCGACCCAGAAUGAAUAUAAUGAGAGCAGUGAGUCUGAAGUCUCCCCCACGCCCUACAAGAACGAUCAAACACCCAACAGAAAUGCCCUGACCAGCAUCACUAACGUGGAGCCCAAAACCGAGCCAGCCUGCGUGUCCCCCAUUCAGAAUUCCGCCCCAGUCAGUGACCUGUCCAAAACUGAACACCCGAAGAGCUCAUUCCGGAUCCACAGGAUGAGAAGGAUGGGGUCAGCCUCCCGGAAGGGAAGAGUGUUCUGUAACGCGUGUGGGAAGACGUUCUAUGACAAAGGUACUCUCAAAAUCCAUUAUAACGCGGUUCACCUGAAGAUCAAACAUCGGUGCACCAUUGAAGGCUGCAAUAUGGUCUUUAGCUCCCUUCGCAGCCGUAACCGCCACAGUGCGAACCCUAACCCUCGCCUUCACAUGCCUAUGCUAAGGAAUAACCGAGACAAAGAUUUAAUCCGGGCCACGUCCGGGGCUGCCACCCCCGUCAUAGCAAGUACAAAAUCCAAUCUCACACUCACAAGCCCUGGCCGGCCCCCAAUGGGUUUUACCACUCCCCCACUAGACCCCGUCUUACAGAACCCUCUCCCUAGCCAGCUGGUGUUCUCUGGGCUAAAGACUGUCCAACCAGUUCCUCCAUUUUAUAGAAGUUUACUCACUCCAGGGGAAAUGGUGAGUCCUCCGACCUCCCUCCCGACCAGUCCCAUCAUCCCAACCAGUGGUACCAUAGAGCAGCACCCCCCACCCCCCUCUGAGCCAGCAGCGCCAGUAGUGAUGAUGGCCACUCAUGAGCCCAGUGCCGACCUGGCGCCCAAGAAGAAGCCCAGGAAGUCCAGCAUGCCUGUGAAGAUCGAGAAGGAAAUUAUCGAUACCGCCGAUGAGUUUGAUGAUGAAGAUGACGACCCCAAUGACAGCGGGCCUGUGGUCAAUGAUGGGAGCCAUGACAAUCACUGCCACUCCCAGGAGGAGAUGAGUCCGGGCAUGUCUGUGAAGGACUUUUCUAAGCAUAGCAGGACCCGGUGCAUUUCAAGGACAGAAAUAAGAAGGGCUGACAGCAUGACUUCUGAGGACCAAGAACCUGAGCGGGACUAUGAGAAUGAGUCUGAGUCUUCGGAGCCCAAACUCGGUGAGGAAUCCAUGGAGGGGGAUGAGCAUAUGCACAGUGAAGUGAGCGAGAAAGUCCUGAUGAACAGUGAGAGGCCGGACGAGAACCACAGUGAGCCCUCUCACCAGGAUGUCAUCAAGGUGAAGGAGGAGUUUACAGAUCCCACUUACGACAUGUUUUACAUGAGCCAGUACGGACUGUACAACGGUGGGGGUGCCAGCAUGGCAGCCCUGCAUGAGAGUUUUACAUCGUCCCUGAAUUACGGCAGCCCUCAGAAGUUCUCCCCAGAAGGGGACCUGUGUUCUAGCCCAGACCCUAAAAUCUGUUAUGUGUGCAAGAAGAGUUUCAAAAGCUCCUACAGCGUGAAGCUUCACUACAGAAACGUUCACUUGAAAGAGAUGCAUGUCUGCACCGUGGCCGGCUGCAAUGCUGCCUUCCCCUCUCGCCGAAGCAGAGACAGAAACAGAAAUUUACGGAUGGAAAGAACCAUAGGUCCAGGACAUCGAGACAGCCUGCAUCUGCGUAGACACAGUGCCAACAUAAAUCUGCAUCGUAAACUGUUGACCAAAGAACUCGAUGACAUGGGCCUGGACUCAUCACAGCCCUCCCUUAGCAAGGACCUCCGGGAUGAAUUUUUGAUGAAGAUCUAUGGGGCCCAGCACCCCCUGGGGCUCGACCUCAGGGAAGACGCCUCCUCUCCCGCGGGGACGGAAGACUCCCACCUGAACGGCUAUGGGAGGGGCAUGGCGGAGGACUACAUGGUCCUGGACCUGAGCACCACCUCCAGCCUGCAGUCCAGCAGCAGCAUCCAUUCCUCCCGAGAAUCCGACGCCGGCAGCGAUGAGGGGAUUCUCCUGGACGACCUUGACGGGGCGAGUGACAGCGGGGAGUCGGCGCACAAGGCCGAGGCCCCCACCCUCCCUGGCGGGCUCGGGGCUGACGUUUCAGGGUCUCUGAUGUUCAGCAGCUUGUCCGGGAGCACCGGUGGGAUCAUGUGUAACAUUUGCCACAAGACGUACAGCAACAAGGGGACGCUGCGGGUGCACUACAAAACCGUGCACUUGCGAGAGAUGCACAAGUGCAAAGUCCCCGGUUGCAAUAUGAUGUUUUCCUCUGUGCGAAGCCGGAAUCGGCACAGUCAGAACCCCAAUCUCCACAAAAACAUUCCCUUCACUGCAGUAGAUUAGUCUCAGAACGGACACUGCAAAUGCCAGCUCUCACCAGAUGGCCUAUGUAUCUGAACUGCCAUAGUGUGCGCUUGUGUACUUGGGGGAGGGCGUGUGUGCACGUGUGUGUGUACACACAUGUAUACCUGUGUACACACACACACACACACACAUUUUCUUUUCUUUGGAUAUAAGAAGAUAAACACUAGGUGCUUUUGAAAUUUUUUGUCUUUUUCCUUUAUAGUUUUGAGAAAGAAGUCAGAUCUUUUAAUUUGGAGAUGAAACAAAAUACCCUUUAAAUACACAUGCGCACACACAUAAAAGCGUGCAACUAGCCCAACCUCUGACAGAGUAACAAUUUUUGGUCCUCUCCAAAGAGACAAUUUGUUGUACCUAUGACUGUUGCCUGCAAAGAGAUAAAGGGGGAAAAAAAAAAAACCAAGGAACUUCUUAUAGUUGUCUUUUGUGAACUUUAAGGUUUUGAGAGAAUCUUCAAUUAAAGCAUGGCAGAUUCACCUGUAAAUAUUUAGCCUUGAGAGGCCAAUGAUGUAAAACAAUUGUAUUGAUGGUUGUUUAACUCUUUUGUUUAAUUUUUACAGUUACAUCCAGCUGUUAGAUAUACAGGAAAAAAAUAGUUUGCUGGCUAGCUCUAUUCAUUUAUGUUAGCAUUAAUGCACAUUUUUUAAGGAAAAAAAAAACAUGGUCUUGUUUUUACUACCUGCUAGAUAUAGUGAUAAAGAGGUGCUGGCAUGCCUUACAGCACAGAUCUGAUUUUUUAAAAUGUCCUGUACUAGUACAUAAAUCCAGUCAUGCACUUUUUUUCAUACACUACAAGGGGAUGUGUAAUAUCCAUGCUUCUUUUUUAUCCUUAAACUAUUGCCAUACUUCAAGUAAGUGUCUUUUUUAAAAAAUUCACUUGUAUAAAAAUGGUCUGGUCAGUAUAGGGCACAAAUGCCAAACAAAAGUAUUAGUGUUAACACAAAACUGCCAACUUUGCACAAGUUUCCAGAAAAGAAAAUACAAUUAGUCACUCAACAUAACCACAGGCCAAUUUGUCCGGCCACCAGAAAACCGCUUUUAAAAAAAACACUUGGUGAUGCUUUCAAGUGCCGAAUGUUAUUACAAUCAACAUUGUAUCCUUCUUGCUUAUAUGUUAAGUUACAUAAAAGGAAAACAAAGUGAUGCAUGUGAAACAGCCAAGGCAUUUAUUCUUUAGAGGCAGGAUAAUAUUUCAGGAUACAAAAGCCCAAAUUACUCACUGCGGAGCAAAGCUGAAUACAGUGAAAGAGCUGAACACUCAUGCGCAAGGACCUGACCCUUCUCCAUUAAAGAGAGGGAGAAAGUCUGAACUGAGUUGGUCUGUUAUGUGGCUGUGUAAUUUGUCGCAAGUUAUGAAGUAGUACUAAGAUUCAGGCUGGUUUGCUAGACAAAAUCAAAAGACAUUUAAUGGCAGAGGCGGCAGUACUUGGAAGCUUUGCAAACAUGUGCUCAACUUGAACUAAGCAAUACUCCUUUCUGAGAAGCCAGAAGAAGGGGGUUUAAAAUAGGAUCUCUCACUGUUUAGUGUUUUGCGUUUCCCCACGCGAUUUGUCAGAGAGAAAUGAAAGCAAGCCUGAAACCAGGCAAUCGAGAGUGAGAAAGAGUAGGGAGAGGAUUCUCCAAACCUUUUUUGUUUUGUUUUGUUUUGUUUCCGAUGUUUACACAUGUUGCCUGAGCUGGUUAACCACAUCGGCAGCCUCAGCUACCACAACAUACUGACUAAAUGAUGAUAUUUACUCAAAUUCAGUCUGCAGCCAAAACCAUUAGGAUGUGCAUUGCAGACUGUUUUGUUGUCUUUUUUUUUUUUUAAGUGGAGAGGGAAAAAGAUAAACAAGGCAUAUUUUGUCAAACAGGACACAAUAAUUUAAAGAGAAUGUAUUUCUUUUCUGCAUUUAAGGGCCUCAAACAUUUCUUUCAUCAGUCUAAAAGUUAGAAUUACUCCCUUUGUCUUAACUUUUUAAUGGCAUUUCCAUUUUUCAUAUGUUUUGUAAUUAUUUUUUUCUAGGUUCACAUCAGCAUUCACUUCCGUUAAAUUUGCCAAAGGAAACUGUUAAUAUGUUUCUCUUGUUGUUAGUCCUGUAGGAUUUAUUGUACCUCAGUAUUUAUUCUUUCCAAAAAUAAGCAUUAUUAAGUUGAGGCUUCAGUAUUUUUUGUGUGAAAAUUUCAGAAACAAUAGAAUCUUAAGAUAAGCUAGAUGUGUCUAGCAGCUUUAUGUUUUCAUCUCCUUCAGAGGAUGCUGUGGGGUUCAUUUAAUUCUUCAUUUGUUCUACAGUGAGGAGAGACCAAAAGUAUUUGCAGUUACAAAAGAAACUAUAGCAAACACUAUGUUUUAAUGACAAAUGUUUACGGUAAAAAAGCUGAGGAAUUAGUGCUAACCGCUUUUUGUUUUUCUUGUACCUUUGAAUUCCCCAAAGUCUUAAUUGCUUUAUUUCAGUGUUGUUAAACUGAAUAGACAGAGAUGUUUUCCUUCGUUUUAUACCACAUAAGACUCUGUACAGUAUGUUUGUGGAAGAUGGAACUAGAAUAAUGAAAAUUUGUUUGCAAACAUUUUGGUCCUCUUAGCCUUCUGUGUUGCGCUAUUGCUCCAUUAACCAAAUGAUUUGAUUCCAGAAGGGAGGAAAAAAUAUUUUGUUGGUAUCCCAUCAAAAGGUUAUGGAAACACUAGCUUUGCGAGUAUACAUAGACCAAGUGACACUUUUAUGAAAUAACACAUUUUCAGAAAUUUUUAACAAUUACACUCUGGGUUGAGAUAAUUAGAACUCAGCUUGUACAAAAUCAGUGCUUAGUCUGUUUAAUGUCAACUAAAAGAUCUAAAAGCCCUAAUGAGUGAAUUACAUAGCUGUCAGCAGGUCACAACAAAGGCACCAGGCUUAGAACAAGUGUUUGGUACUCACCACAAACCAGGCUGAUGUGGAUAGCCAGUUAGAAUAAGCCCAGAAGUAACAAGAUUCUCAAGCAGAAUUUCCAUUGCUCAGAAGCAUGAAUGUGUUCACCUGCCUUUUGUUGGAGAAAUGACAGUGAGUCCUGGACAGCCUGCCCUUUUUAAGUCUCUCCCCUCUUUCCUACUAGUUUUGUGCCUCAAGUGCCCACAUGUUAUGGUGGCCUUUUAAGUGGGUGUAUAAUAUUUUCCAGUUUAAAGCCUAAUUGCUUAAAAGGGACAGGGGGAGUGGACAGAAGUGGUCCAUAAGAUGUAGAAUCAUGAAAACGUACAUUUCAUCUAGUCCCAUAGUGUUGCUUGUUCUGGGGUGUGUGCCUGAGUGCAAUGUUUUGACUUAACUCUAAAUCUAGUUAAGAUGGUGAUCCCAAGGCUUAUUUGCAAAUGGGAAGGAUGAUGUGAUCACCAUUUUAACCAUUGAGCCCUUCCCUCUUUGUCCAUUCAUACUCAUUUCUUUUUUCAUAGGAGUUUUCUGUUGUGACACAGGCUCUGUCCAGCUUCAUCCAUGCUAGGGCGGCUGAAAAAGGAAUAGGAUGCAGCAUUUCAUCCAAGCAACCUUUUUCCCCCACUUGAUUCAUUUUAACCAGCAUUCUGUCACAGUAAUGUGAACGCUGCUGACAAGACUGUCACACUAACAGCAGACAACACCCUGCCCGCUUCAGCCCCAGCUCUCCUGGCUACUUAUUGCCCUGGCCCUAAAGGGACACAAACUAAUAGUGUGCUUUCCAGUUCAGCACUUGGCCAUCAAAUAUAAAAGGAUGCGUAAUUGCCUGUUUAUCCCUUGUGAAGGGGAAAUUGAGUACAAGGGCUAGGCUUUCCCACUGAGUUCCCCGAUGCACACACAUCCACAGUCAGCCUCUCCCUCCCUCCCUCCACCUCCUCCCAGCACACGAGCACGCACACACACCCACUAAACUGUAUCUCUGGUAGGCCCAAGGCUGCCUCGAGGUGCCCUCUCCAGCUAUUAAGUGCACAGUAACAAGACAACGUCUUAAAUAAAGGGUCAGUAGAGAGAUUCUGGCUUUGACAGCACCCUCUGGGUCUUUGGAAACUUAAGUAUUGCAAUUCCAAGCUCAUGUAUUUUGGGAGUACUGGGUAUGGUGCUAUAAUUAGAGCAAAGUUUCUACAAGUCAGUGGCAAAAGUGGGAUUAGAUUGCCCUAUGUUCUGUAAGUAAAGAACUAAGACGUUUUUCCUCUCCUUCAAAAAGUGCACGUGCCGUAAACAAACUGGUUGUGUGUGGUGGUUUGAAAAAAAAUUUUUUUAGCUUUGGCCUCCAACCAGUAGUCUAGAUGUACACAGGUAUCUUGCCGUGACAACUUCCAAAUCCAUACUGUAACAAGACAGGUUCACCUUUAAUUGGACUGACAAUCUGAAAAAAAUAAUAAGGCACAGGGACUUUGAGUUUAAUCACUAAAACAGGGACUAUCCUAUAUGUAGAAAGUAAAUUCUUUCUACUUUGGGAGAAUUUUGGUAAGUAUAAGCACAUGAGCUUUAGAAAAUCAAGUACGAGGGGACAAAAGGUACAAAGAAAAAUCAUGUGAAAUGUGAUCUUCCCAAACAUCUUGAGCCCAAAUAACAUAUAUAAGUAUUGGCUGCUAUUUUUGUAUACUGAACUACUUAAAGGAUCAUAAAGAUAGCUAGUUAGUGGCUAAAUGAAGUAUAAGUUCUCUGUGCAUCUUCCUUGGGGAAUUCAGAGACACCCUGCUUCUUUCUAAACCCUCCUGCAUUGGGUCUGAUAGAUGCUGUUGAUCCCACCCCGCUCCCCUCCACCGACUUUGAACAGUCACAUUUCAAAUCUAUGUCAAAAAAUAAGACACACGCAGGUGUCAUCUUUGAUGCAAACUUUUGGAAAGACGAGAAGUGGCAGAUUGAGAGAGAGACAAAAGGUCUAUGUAGACAAACCCGUGCUAAAAUAAUGGUAUUAAGCAGUGUGUGGACUGGGCAGAAAAGCACUUUGAGUAAUGAUUGUUGGGGUCAGGGAAAAAGCAGUUGAUGUUUUUUAAGUUCUGCCAGUAUGUAUAUAUUACAAUCAUUUAGCAAACAUCUUAAGAGACUCUUAAUUAAAAAUUCAGUUGCCAAAAUUGCACAGAUUAUUCAAUAUUAGCUCUACCCGCCCCUUAAAUAACAGGGAUGCUUAAGGACAGUUCUAAUUGUUUUGGCAUAUUUUUAGCUUCCUUUUUCUAAGAUUCUUUGAAGGGAAGGAAGAGUGGAAAAAGGUAUUUUAACAAAAAUGGAAAGAAAUAGAUAGUAUAAAACUAUAUUUCUUAAAGUAUGCAAGCGCUAUACCAAGACUUUAUAAGGCUUCCUGUUGCCAAACACGAUGCUGAAAUAAUGCACAAGAUGGCACAUCAGUCCAUUACCAACCGGCUCUGCCCACUGCUGUUACAAAAUGCAAGGAUUGAGAGGUGGCCCCGGGGUGAAGGGGCCUAUGUGUGUCAGAGAGCUCCACUCCUCUGGCCCUGGAAACGUUUUCCACAAGAGGGGAGAAAAGACCAACCCUCUUGGUAGUCCUACCCCAAGAUGAGCUGAGCUGACCUGGCACUGUUUCCACAGGAGCCGCGUGACCCGCCCUUCCCACACUAGGAGAGCACCCCUGACCUGCCUGUGAAUCAGUGCCGUGGCCAAGAAAAGCAGUGAUUCAUGAGGCAUGAUGCUCUUGAUUCCCAGACAGUGUGCUCAGUUAACAGGCUCACUUGAGAUGUAUAAACCAAGAUGACUGUUUUCAUCUAGUACUCAAUUUGGAGUGUUUUUGCAUGUCUUUGUACAUAUCUACUCCUUUCAAUACCCAUCUUAAUCUCCCCUGACUUCAUUAUCUUUCCACUCCUGCCCUUUCUUCUGAUCUCACCCACCCUCUUCAAAGAAAAUCUUUUCUGAAGCAAGAAGGUAGAACACUCCCUCCUUCAUCUGGAUUUUGAUCACUCUGGAAACAUUUGUGUGUUCCACCCUGUCUGGGGUUUACAUAACGUGAAUUAAGUGAAUGAGAUGUUCUAGUAUUAUAUAUUAACCUGAUAUGACUAAGAUUUAUAAUAUAUGGUGCUGUCACUUUCCUGUGCAAACUUUGGUUCUGCUGCCCUGCAGAAAAGUCUCAACCAUUUUCCUACCAAUGCCAGUAUGAACAGGGCAGGAGAGCUAAACGUGGGUACCUGGAGGUCAGAGGGGUGAGGGAGGCGGAGAAACCAGGAGAAGAUGUGGGUUUGAGGCCUCCCUGGGCCUUUCCUCAAAGGUGGACGUGAGUCGAUCCUUCAGGAAAGCAAGCUCUCAGAUCUCAACUGCUCCUCAUCGACUAAGCCUUUUAGAACUAGCAAGAUCCCUCACCUGGAUGAGAGAACACAUAACUUUCUUACUCACCCCAAACCCACUGGUGUGUCUUGCUAACAAAAACACUGGACACAAGCCUAUUUGACAGCAAAGUUGGCCAAAGGGAACUGAAAUAUCUUAAGGAAAAGCAAUUUUCCCCAAGAUAUGUCCUCUCUCCCCACUCCCCAACCCCAGAGUUUGGGGCGGGGGUGGGGGGCGGGGGGCUGUGCUUUUUUUCGUUUCUGUCCUCCUCCGCAUCAAACCAGCCUCUUCUGCCCAGCCUGUCACAGAACCAAAGUCUGCACUAUGAAAGGGGUCAGCACCCAGGGACGGGCACAGCUUACAUCACCCUGAUCUGAUCAUUGUGACGUCGGUAGCUUCAUAAAUACUGUAUGUACCUUGAACAAGGGUUUUGUUUUUGUUUUGUUUUUGGUUUGUUUUUCUUAGUAGUUUAAGGGAAUUAAAAGUUUUUAUUUGCUGUUUCCUUUGUUGUAUUUUCUGUACUAUAACUGUCUACAGUAUGUCUUUUUGCAUAAAAUGCAUAAGGGUUUGGGGAUGUAAAUGGAAUUUUAUUCAUAUUUUGUCCAAAUACCUCUUGUAAUUUGUAUCAAAAUUCUUGUACAAUUUUUAUAUUAAAGAUUUAUCAGUCACUGA